UAAUGGGGCGAAUGCAUAGCUGGA
Molecule: non-coding RNA, 24 nt
Filed under: Mus musculus (house mouse)
Lineage: Eukaryota; Metazoa; Chordata; Mammalia; Rodentia; Muridae
Source: RNAcentral